RNAcentral lists this unclassified non-coding RNA (202 nucleotides) under uncultured fungus. RNAcentral's name for it is "sequence contains ITS1, 5.8S rRNA gene". Lineage: Eukaryota; Fungi. The record is from RNAcentral.
ACGAGUUAGGGUCUUCCAGGCCCGACCUCCCAACCCUCUGUCUAUUGAACCUUUUGUUGCUUCGGCGGGCCCGUCCCCCCGUGGACCGCCGGAGGACCGCCGCGAGGCGUUCGUCCUCUGGCCCGCGCCCGCCGACGGCCAACCCUUCAAAACUCUGAAUCAAUCAUGUCUAUUGUCUGAGUCUUAUGAUUAAAUAAAAGCA